GGGGCUGUAGCUCAGUGGUAGAGCACUUGCCUUGCAUAUGUGAGGUAGUGGGUUCGAUCCUCAGCACCA
This 69-nucleotide transfer RNA is filed under the name Ictidomys tridecemlineatus (thirteen-lined ground squirrel). RNAcentral's name for it is "Spermophilus tridecemlineatus (thirteen-lined ground squirrel) tRNA". It matches the Rfam family "tRNA". From Rfam's summary of the family: Transfer RNA (tRNA) molecules are approximately 80 nucleotides in length. Their secondary structure includes four short double-helical elements and three loops (D, anti-codon, and T loops). Further hydrogen bonds mediate the characteristic L-shaped molecular structure. tRNAs have two regions of fundamental functional importance: the anti-codon, which is responsible for specific mRNA codon recognition, and the 3' end, to which the tRNAs corresponding amino acid is attached (by aminoacyl-tRNA synthetases). tRNAs cope with the degeneracy of the genetic code in two manners: having more than one tRNA (with a specific anti-codon) for a particular amino acid; and 'wobble' base-pairing, i.e. permitting non-standard base-pairing at the 3rd anti-codon position. The record is from Rfam by way of RNAcentral. Lineage: Eukaryota; Metazoa; Chordata; Mammalia; Rodentia; Sciuridae.